RNAcentral lists this long non-coding RNA (380 nucleotides) under Mus spicilegus (steppe mouse). Its description in RNAcentral is "lncRNA (ENSMSIG00000031267.1)". Lineage: Eukaryota; Metazoa; Chordata; Mammalia; Rodentia; Muridae. The record is from RNAcentral.
UUUUUUUUUCUUUCUCUCAGCUUCCUUUCCCCAGAGGACACCAUGUUUCAAGGAGGUUUGUGGCUGACAGCAACACUGUUGCUCUGAACUAUCAACCUGAGGGGUGGUGAGGACCUCCGAGGAUAACAAUGGCUAUCACUGCAACAUUGCUUGUUGCCCUUGAUGAUGAUGGCAAAAAUCCUGUGCUUCAGAAGGUCUCCAGUUGUCAGUAGACUCUUACUUUUUCAAAGCUUGGGCAUCAUCUGACAAAGAGAAGGAUUAUGAAGAACUGAGUCUGCUGGAGAUGUCAGUCUGACCUCUGAGAACUAUGGGAAUUACUAGGAAGAGACGUGUGGUCCUGCCAUCAGGAGACUAUUCUCCAUGAUCAUGGAAAGUGUGUG